AGUGGGGCGGUGGGUUCUGCUAGUCUCUGCUGGACGGUGAGGGGGUGAGGGUGGUGUGAGCCUGUGCGGUGCCCAUAGUCUGUGCUGCCUCAUGUGUGUUGUGUGGUGGCUGUGCAUGCAUGUCAUACACACCCCCCUGAGCACCAGGUCCUACACCCUCCCUCUGUGCCUAACAACCUAGCAAAGUCAAGUCCUCACUGGAUAAUCUGCUUGGGCUUCCUAUCCUAUCCCUGCUCCUUCAUCAAGACCCCAAGCCUCCUCGUUGGUGGGUCAACUCACCAGCACAUUCCUGCCUCAGGGCCUUUGCAUUGCACUUCUCUCCCUGGAAUCCUCUUGCAGUGGAUUCCCUCUCCUUCAAGUUGACUCUAGCACGUCAGUGAGGCCUGCCUUGACCUCUAUUAAGGAUUUUUUUGUUGUUGUUUUGAGACAGGAAUGGGGUUUAUUACAUAACCCAGGCUGGUUUUGAACUCCUGGGCCCAAGCGAUCUUCCUGCCUUAACCUCCAGGGUAGCUGGAAUUUCAGGCAUGUACCAUUGUACCUGGUGCUUGGUUUUUUUGUUUUUGUCUUUUUUGGUUUUGAAAAUCAAACCCAGGGUCCUACAUAUAUUAAGCGCAUCUCUACCACUGAGCCACACCACCAGCCCUCCAAUUUAAAUAACCUUAUCAUCACUUGAACAUAAUAAACAUGUUACAUCUAAUUAUAAACCCAAAUGAUGUUCACAGGAUGACUACCCAAUGAGGGUUUUCAAUAAAUUGACAAUUCUCAAUAUGCCAGUCGUUUUUUCUUUUCUUUUGCAGUGCUGGGUAUUGAACCCAGGGGCUCAUUACCUCUGAGCCACAUCCCCAGCCCUUUUUAUUUCUUUAUUUUUUUGAGACAGGGUCUCACUAAAUUGCCCAGGCUGGCUUUGAACUUGUGAUCCUUCUGCCUCAGCCUCCUGAGUAACGUGUUGAUCUACCAUGUCAUUUUUUAUGCUCUCUCUCAGGGAUCAGCAUAGGGUUCUUGGGUCGAACUGCAGAGCUUGGCCCACACAAGAUGCUCAGCCUGUGUUGCACUGUCUGCGCUGCAUCACCCACUGCCUGUGGUGUCUCCUAGGUGUGGGUUUUGCACUCUGGCCUUGUCUCCUGGGUGCUGGGAUGUUAUUCCCUCACCUGUGAUGUCACGUUGACACCACCCAGUGGAGCCAGCUGUACCUGUCUUGCACAUAUGCUCAUGAACUGAC
This 1219-nucleotide long non-coding RNA is filed under the name Marmota monax (woodchuck). The record is from RNAcentral. Lineage: Eukaryota; Metazoa; Chordata; Mammalia; Rodentia; Sciuridae.